Molecule: long non-coding RNA, 554 nt
Organism: Pan troglodytes (chimpanzee)
Lineage: Eukaryota; Metazoa; Chordata; Mammalia; Primates; Hominidae
Exons: 4
Source: RefSeq, a predicted model, not a curated record
GUGGGACUGAAAAUCAGAUGGCUAAGGGUGCAGAUGCAUUAUUUUUUUUAAUAGAAAAGGAGUGAAGAAUUGAAAUGAUAAUCCACUCCAUCGUACUGUGCUACAGAGUUUGGACUUUAUAUAGAAAAUGAAGAGUUACCAAAGCCAAUUACAGUAACAGAGGUGAAUAUUUUCGUGAGAUCUCAGAUGCCAAUAUCCAGAAGUACGCGGCUGGCUCCAGUAUUUUUAAAAACAGAGUGACAACAAAGAAAUGAAAAUGCUUUUCCAGGCACUUAAACCACAUCUUAGAAUUGGGCAACGAAAAGAAGACAUCAUUGGAUACUAUAUCUGACCUUUGCUUUUGCUACCAGCAACAUAAAGUAAUACCAUUUACUGCACAGGUCAAAUCGAAAAAUCAUGUGAAGAUGACAUGGCCCUUUUUUCUCGAGAGCUACCAGUCACACUUCCUAAAUCUUCAUACCCAAGGAGGGUGACCUUCACAGACUACAUGGUUCUCCAGCCAAAUAUAUGCACUUUCCCACUGGAUCCACCAAACAAAUAAAUAAUGGUAAAGC